RNAcentral lists this non-coding RNA (24 nucleotides) under Arabidopsis thaliana (thale cress). The record is from RNAcentral. Lineage: Eukaryota; Viridiplantae; Streptophyta; Magnoliopsida; Brassicales; Brassicaceae.
AACAACUUAAACCGCAACUCGAUC